RNAcentral lists this ribosomal RNA (1445 nucleotides) under Lactiplantibacillus plantarum. RNAcentral's name for it is "bacterial SSU rRNA". It matches the Rfam family "Bacterial small subunit ribosomal RNA". Lineage: Bacteria; Bacillati; Bacillota; Bacilli; Lactobacillales; Lactobacillaceae. The record is from RNAcentral.
CUAUACAUGCAAGUCGAACGAACUCUGGUAUUGAUUGGUGCUUGCAUCAUGAUUUACAUUUGAGUGAGUGGCGAACUGGUGAGUAACACGUGGGAAACCUGCCCAGAAGCGGGGGAUAACACCUGGAAACAGAUGCUAAUACCGCAUAACAACUUGGACCGCAUGGUCCGAGCUUGAAAGAUGGCUUCGGCUAUCACUUUUGGAUGGUCCCGCGGCGUAUUAGCUAGAUGGUGGGGUAACGGCUCACCAUGGCAAUGAUACGUAGCCGACCUGAGAGGGUAAUCGGCCACAUUGGGACUGAGACACGGCCCAAACUCCUACGGGAGGCAGCAGUAGGGAAUCUUCCACAAUGGACGAAAGUCUGAUGGAGCAACGCCGCGUGAGUGAAGAAGGGUUUCGGCUCGUAAAACUCUGUUGUUAAAGAAGAACAUAUCUGAGAGUAACUGUUCAGGUAUUGACGGUAUUUAACCAGAAAGCCACGGCUAACUACGUGCCAGCAGCCGCGGUAAUACGUAGGUGGCAAGCGUUGUCCGGAUUUAUUGGGCGUAAAGCGAGCGCAGGCGGUUUUUUAAGUCUGAUGUGAAAGCCUUCGGCUCAACCGAAGAAGUGCAUCGGAAACUGGGAAACUUGAGUGCAGAAGAGGACAGUGGAACUCCAUGUGUAGCGGUGAAAUGCGUAGAUAUAUGGAAGAACACCAGUGGCGAAGGCGGCUGUCUGGUCUGUAACUGACGCUGAGGCUCGAAAGUAUGGGUAGCAAACAGGAUUAGAUACCCUGGUAGUCCAUACCGUAAACGAUGAAUGCUAAGUGUUGGAGGGUUUCCGCCCUUCAGUGCUGCAGCUAACGCAUUAAGCAUUCCGCCUGGGGAGUACGGCCGCAAGGCUGAAACUCAAAGGAAUUGACGGGGGCCCGCACAAGCGGUGGAGCAUGUGGUUUAAUUCGAAGCUACGCGAAGAACCUUACCAGGUCUUGACAUACUAUGCAAAUCUAAGAGAUUAGACGUUCCCUUCGGGGACAUGGAUACAGGUGGUGCAUGGUUGUCGUCAGCUCGUGUCGUGAGAUGUUGGGUUAAGUCCCGCAACGAGCGCAACCCUUAUUAUCAGUUGCCAGCAUUAAGUUGGGCACUCUGGUGAGACUGCCGGUGACAAACCGGAGGAAGGUGGGGAUGACGUCAAAUCAUCAUGCCCCUUAUGACCUGGGCUACACACGUGCUACAAUGGAUGGUACAACGAGUUGCGAACUCGCGAGAGUAAGCUAAUCUCUUAAAGCCAUUCUCAGUUCGGAUUGUAGGCUGCAACUCGCCUACAUGAAGUCGGAAUCGCUAGUAAUCGCGGAUCAGCAUGCCGCGGUGAAUACGUUCCCGGGCCUUGUACACACCGCCCGUCACACCAUGAGAGUUUGUAACACCCAAAGUCGGUGGGGUAACCUUUUAGGAACCAGCCGCCUA